RNAcentral lists this ribosomal RNA (440 nucleotides) under uncultured bacterium. RNAcentral describes it as "partial 16S ribosomal RNA". It matches the Rfam family "Bacterial small subunit ribosomal RNA", at positions 338 to 795 of the family's 1533-position model. The record is from RNAcentral.
CCUACGGGAGGCAGCAGUGGGGAAUAUUGCACAAUGGGCGAAAGCCUGAUCCAGCGAAGCCGCGUGAAGGAAGAAGGCUUUCGGUAUGUUAAAUUCUUUCUGCAGGGAAGCAAAUGCCGGUACCUGACUAAGAAGCCCCGGCUAACUACGUAACAGCAGCCGCGGUAAGACGUCGGGGGCAAGCGUUAUCCGGAUUUACUGGGUGUAAAGGGAGCGUAGGCGGUUUAGCAAGUCAGAAGUGAAAGCCCGGGGCUCAACGCCGGGACUGCUGUUGAAACUGUUGAACUAGAUUGCAGGAGAGGUAAGCGGAAUGCGUGGUGUAGCGGUGAAAUGCGUAGAUAUUAGGAGGAACACCAGUGGCGAAGGCAGCUUACUGGACUGUAAAUGACGCUGAGGCUCGAAAGCGUGGGUAGCAAACAGGAUUAGAUACCCCUGUAGUC